UCAAACCAUCGUACUGCCCACCCAAACACUCUCUACCUCAUUCUCCCUUACUCUCGUCUCUGAACCCUCACUGCUAAGCCACCACCGUUCUCCUCGUCGCCGGUCCAACAGUCCUCCGACAACCUCAUUCUCCCUCACUCCCUUCCUCACUCUCCCUCACACUCCGUCGGCCUUGCCUUCUGCCGCUGACACCACCAUCGCCAGCAACACAGCCACCGCGGCCAUCCUCAGACUCCUUCCCUCCCUCAUCACUGUCUUUUCAUUUAGUUGAUUUGAAUCUCUCUUUCAGUGUUGGGCUUAAAAUUUUGAACUUUGACAGUGUGACUCAGAGAAGUUAGUUAAGGUGUUAUUUGACAGAUGGAUGCUAUCAUUAGUCAACGUGGUGAUGAAGGAUGUAGUGAGCAUUAAGCAAGUAGGCAUUUGAAAACUGAGCUACUCAUACAGGCAAAGAUGAAACGACUUAUGACAGAGGGGUCACAGUUGCAGGGAAACGACAUUGAGGCUGGCAUACUUUGGCAGCCCAACGAUGCAUUUGGAUAGGUCAUCGAUGCAAAGAGAGGUGACCGUGUCAGAGGGCUAGGCUUUGGUCCAACCCCUUCUGGCAAUCGUGCGAGGUCAAUGGAUGACAGUACGCCACCUCCAACAUCUACUGCAACCGACCAAAGGGUUAUAGAGUUGUCUACUCAAGUAGAAGCAAUGAAGGAGAAAUGCACUCGUUAUGAUGCCCUUGAAGCUCAAGUUCAAUUAAUGCAGAGGAUGUUGACCUGACUGUGCCCAUCAUUUCCCAGUAUGUCUAUGGAUGGUGAUGGUUAUUUUGUAGUGGAUAUCCAAUCUCCCGGUGCUCAGCGCUUAUCAUCUGAUGAUACGCAGUAGGCGAUAUUUUGGGCACCUAUUUUGGAGUAGGCAAUACGCAGUAGAAUGUAUUCUUUUGUGCAGGACAUUCUAUAUAGUUAGAAUGUAUUCUUUUGUGUAGGACAUUGUACAUAGUUGUCUAGAAUGUAUUAUUUUGUGUAUAAAAUUUUAGACAUUUGAGAUGUAAUUAUUGAUAUGGUUUAAUUAAAUAUAUUUAGUUUCUUGAUUUAA
Molecule: long non-coding RNA, 1083 nt
Organism: Quercus lobata
Lineage: Eukaryota; Viridiplantae; Streptophyta; Magnoliopsida; Fagales; Fagaceae
Exons: 5
Source: RefSeq, a predicted model, not a curated record